GAUCUGAUUUUAGAAUUGAAUACGGAAAUCAAUGAAGAGUUCUAAGAGACUAUUGAGGAAAGUGUCAGGAAGAUAAUGAUGAAAACAGGAAAGUGAC
This 97-nucleotide ribosomal RNA is filed under the name uncultured Stichotrichia. RNAcentral's name for it is "partial Microsporidia small subunit ribosomal RNA". Lineage: Eukaryota; Ciliophora; Spirotrichea. The record is from RNAcentral.